Molecule: ribosomal RNA, 544 nt
Filed under: Fusarium oxysporum
Lineage: Eukaryota; Fungi; Ascomycota; Sordariomycetes; Hypocreales; Nectriaceae
Description: eukaryotic LSU rRNA
Rfam family: 5.8S ribosomal RNA (bases 185-338)
Source: RNAcentral
CAGGGGCGCCGUUGGUGACCAGCGGAGGGAUCAUUACCGAGUUUACAACUCCCAAACCCCUGUGAACAUACCAAUUGUUGCCUCGGCGGAUCAGCCCGCUCCCGGUAAAACGGGACGGCCCGCCAGAGGACCCCUAAACUCUGUUUCUAUAUGUAACUUCUGAGUAAAACCAUAAAUAAAUCAAAACUUUCAACAACGGAUCUCUUGGUUCUGGCAUCGAUGAAGAACGCAGCAAAAUGCGAUAAGUAAUGUGAAUUGCAGAAUUCAGUGAAUCAUCGAAUCUUUGAACGCACAUUGCGCCCGCCAGUAUUCUGGCGGGCAUGCCUGUUCGAGCGUCAUUUCAACCCUCAAGCCCCCGGGUUUGGUGUUGGGGAUCGGCGAGCCCUUGCGGCAAGCCGGCCCCGAAAUCUAGUGGCGGUCUCGCUGCAGCUUCCAUUGCGUAGUAGUAAAACCCUCGCAACUGGUACGCGGCGCGGCCAAGCCGUUAAACCCCCAACUUCUGAAUGUUGACCUCGGAUCAGGUAGGAAUACCCGCUGAACUUAA